RNAcentral lists this transfer RNA (76 nucleotides) under Streptomyces mutabilis. The record is from RNAcentral. Lineage: Bacteria; Bacillati; Actinomycetota; Actinomycetes; Kitasatosporales; Streptomycetaceae.
CCGGCAUGGCGCGGACCAGACCCUCGGCGAAGCCCAUGUACCAGUCGGGCUGGGCACCCGUGGACACCUGGUCCGG